Molecule: ribosomal RNA, 249 nt
Filed under: uncultured bacterium
Lineage: Bacteria
Description: partial 16S ribosomal RNA
Rfam family: Bacterial small subunit ribosomal RNA
Source: RNAcentral
UGAGUAACACGUAUGCAACCUGCCUGCCACAGCCGGAUAAUCGGGAGAAAUUCCGUCUAAUACGGCAUAAUGCAUCGACGGGACAUCCUGUUGGUGCCAAAGGUUAAUUCCGGUGGCGGAUGGGCAUGCGUCGCAUUAGUUAGUUGGCGGUGUAACGGACCACCAAGACGACGAUGCGUAGGGGUUCUGAGAGGAAGGUCCCCCACACUGGUACUGAGACACGGACCAGACUCCUACGGGAGGCAGCAG